GACACCGAAGGUGGAGUUAGACACUGACACUGGAAUGAUAAGACAUUAGCAUUGGCCCCGUGCAAGGAUGACACGGAAGUUGUGAAGUGCUCCUUUUUUUU
Molecule: small nuclear RNA, 101 nt
Filed under: Mesocricetus auratus (golden hamster)
Lineage: Eukaryota; Metazoa; Chordata; Mammalia; Rodentia; Cricetidae
Source: RNAcentral